This 164-nucleotide ribosomal RNA is filed under the name uncultured bacterium. RNAcentral's name for it is "partial 16S rRNA". It matches the Rfam family "Bacterial small subunit ribosomal RNA", at positions 355 to 511 of the family's 1533-position model. The record is from RNAcentral.
UAGGGAAUCUUCCACAAUGGGCGAGAGCCUGAUGGAGCAACGCCGCGUGUGUGAUGAAGGCUUUCGGGUCGUAAAGCACUGUUGUAUGGGAAGAACAGCUAGAAUAGGAAAUGAUUUUAGUUUGACGGUACCAUACCAGAAAGGGACGGCUAAAUACGUGCCAC